UACAGAGGGUGCGAGCGUUGUUCGGAAUUACUGGGCGUAAAGCGCGCGCAGGCGGCCCUUUAAGUCCGCUGGUGAAAUCCCGGAGCUCAACUCCAGAACUGCCUUCGAUACUGGCGAUCUUGAGUCCGGAAGAGGUGAGUGGAACUCCUAGUGUAGAGGUGGAAUUCGUAAAUAUUCGGAAGAACACCAGUGGCGAAGGCGACUCGCUGGACAGACAUUGACGCUGAGGUGCGAAAGCGUGGGGAGCAAACAGG
This 254-nucleotide ribosomal RNA is filed under the name uncultured bacterium. Its description in RNAcentral is "partial 16S ribosomal RNA". It matches the Rfam family "Bacterial small subunit ribosomal RNA", at positions 524 to 776 of the family's 1533-position model. The record is from RNAcentral.